Long non-coding RNA from Osmia lignaria (orchard mason bee), 969 nucleotides. RefSeq lists it as uncharacterized. The record is from RefSeq and is a predicted model, not a curated record. NCBI's taxonomy places the organism in Eukaryota, Metazoa, Arthropoda, Insecta, Hymenoptera, Megachilidae.
UACCUGAAAGGUAAUAAUUAAGGUGAAUAGAAAUUUGUACAAGUGGUAUCAUUAAAAUAAGUAAAUAAAAGUAAACUAACUUACAUGAUUUACUUCAACAAAUGAUGACGAACAACAAAGAAGGGAAGGGCAAAUGGAACUCCAAAGAAGGCAAUGAAAUACGCAAGAAGUUUGUAUCUGUGUCCGUGAAUGCUGAAUGGAAGAUUCUGCAAAAAACAAUUUUAUUAUGUUAUACAUAUAAUCAACAAUUUCAUUUCCAAAAAUGAUAUUCAAACAAAGAAUCUGAGCUUGAUUUGUGACAUCCAGAUUCCAAUAAAUAAUUUUAUUUUAAAAAGUCGCAAUGCGAACGCAGUUAUGCAAUAAUAUAUUAUUUGUUUUCCUUUUUACUUACAGAACCGGGAAAACCUUCAGGUUCGUCAUGACCACUUCUACGUAUUGCAGAAGUUCUGAAACUUCUCAGACACUGUUGGAAAGCUGCUCUUGGUGCAGACAUUUUGCUAUGUGUUGUACCGUACGAUACUCCAAAUCGUCUGAAGUAAAAUGGCGAGAGUUGAGAGUUCGUUUAUUCUGUGGAUCUUUAAGGCGAGUUCACUUUGCAUCGGUAACUUAGCUGUUUUAGGGAAAGGGACGUAGAUCGGAGCGAAAGGAUACGCCCCUGACAGUAGGGGAAAGAGAAGUGGGGGGGGGAAACAGGGCUGGCCCUGGGCCUAGGCAGACUAGGCACCCGCCUAGGGACCCUGUAAGACGAUUUUGCGUUUAAGAAUGGGCCCUUUUUCGGAGCUCGCCUCAGACCCCUAAAAUCUCAGUGCCGGCCCUGGUGAAAAACGAUAAUAUGCGUGUUGGAAUCAUUGGAAUGGAUGGAAAAAAGGAAUUCGGUCGAUAAUGCAAGGAUGUAAUAUUUUUAAUCAAAAAAUUGUAUUAGAAGCGGUUGUAAAAAUUAUAUUAUAUUAAUAAAUUUUAUUUAUGAUA